CACCUCUCACCUUACAAACCAAACAGGUGUCACCACUUCAUCCACAAUCACAGAGAGUCUUCGUACAGUGAGGAAGUUCUUUGAGACCAGGACUGAGGCCUCCAGGAUUCAAACUUAAACCAUUAAAUCAGAGAGAGGGAGACGUGAAGACAUUUCCAGAAGGUCUUCAGCUGCUGUUGUCAUCUCCUUCUGCAGAGACAAUAACAUGUAUUAAUCACAGAAACUGAUCAGUAAAUGGUAAUAUUUUAACGACAUACUAUUCUCUGACAUUUUUUGAUGUUUUUUAUGCC
Molecule: long non-coding RNA, 290 nt
Organism: Lates calcarifer (barramundi perch)
Lineage: Eukaryota; Metazoa; Chordata; Actinopteri; Centropomidae
Exons: 4
Source: RefSeq, a predicted model, not a curated record